GACGAACGCUGGCGAUGUGCUUAACACAUGCAAGUCGAACGGUAAGGCCCUUUCGGGGGUACACGAGUGGCGAACGGGUGAGUAACACGUGAGUAACCUGCCCUCAUCUCUGGGAUAACAGUCGGAAACGGUUGCUAAUACUGGAUAUGAGCUUGCAAGGCAUCUUGUGGGUUGGAAAGAUUUUUUUUGGUUGGGGAUGGACUCGCGGCCUAUCAGCUUGUUGGUGAGGUAGUGGCUCACCAAGGCUUCGACGGGUAGCCGGCCUGAGAGGGCGACCGGCCACAUUGGGACUGAGAUACGGCCCAAACUCCUACGGGAGGCAGCAGUGGGGAAUAUUGCACAAUGGACGGAAGUCUGAUGCAGCAACGCCGCGUGCGGGAUGACGGCCUUCGGGUUGUAAACCGCUUUCAAUUGUGACGAAGCUUUUUUGUGACGGUAGCAGUAGAAGAAGCACCGGCUAACUACGUG
Molecule: ribosomal RNA, 468 nt
Filed under: uncultured bacterium
Lineage: Bacteria
Description: partial 16S ribosomal RNA
Rfam family: Bacterial small subunit ribosomal RNA
Source: RNAcentral